Beta vulgaris subsp. vulgaris (sugar beet) is the source of this 1081-nucleotide long non-coding RNA. RefSeq lists it as uncharacterized. The transcript is spliced from 2 exons. Lineage: Eukaryota; Viridiplantae; Streptophyta; Magnoliopsida; Caryophyllales; Amaranthaceae. The record is from RefSeq and is a predicted model, not a curated record.
UUUAAUUAUCAUUAUUAUCCAAAAUUAUAUAUAUUAGAUCUUCUUAUUAUAUUUAAGUUGGAAUAUGAAGUUUAUGUUUUAAUUAACGAUAUUUUAGUAGUUUUAUUAUUCUUGAUAUUAUAUGUUAAUUAAACAAUACUUUAGAUGCGUUUAAUCUACAAGUAUAUUUCGGAAAAUGAUUUUGAAUAACUUGGAGUUCGAAUCGUUAUAUGUUAGUUUAUCGUAGUUAGCAACAUUUACAGUAUUAAGUUAGUAAGUCGUGUUGUAUUUUAGAUGUGAACAGAAUAGAAAACCCGAAAAUUAUAAACACCACCCGCCUUAUUGUUUUAGUCGGUCAAGAAACAAAAGAAGAAAAAAAAACACCAAAACCCCCCUACCGUUUCUCUCUCCCAUGGAAAACCAAACCCUCAUUCAUUCUCUUCCACCUUGAGCACCAUCUCUAAUUCUCUUCCCUGGUUUGCUGUUGGAACUCGUCGGUUUCCCCACCCUCAUCGGAGCUUCUCGCCGCCGCAAGCUAGCGGCGAUAUUUUAUGCUUUCCCUCUCUCCUCUACUCAGUUAGUUGUUGUUGCGAAUUGGCGGUUUUGCCGCCGUGGUUGUCUGCUCCUCCACUGCCCAGCUGUCGUGAUGGUGUUGUGUUGUUGAUGUUGGGUUACUGUUUGCUAGUCUCCACCGUUUUUCUCUCUCUCUCCUCUGAUUUCUAUUGCGUGCUGUUGCUGGGGCGUCGGUGUUGAUGCCGACACAGUCCCGCAAUGCUGCUGCCGCCACUGUCGCGGUGUUGCAGCUCAAUUCUAGCCACCAGUGAGUUGAUACUAGAGCAGGUUUCUUGUUGGAUUCGCGAAGUUUAAGGUGAGGACGGAAAUUCAUAGAGGAACUUUAUAUUCGAAGACUUCGAAAUGUAAAUUGUACGUGGGUUUAAAUAUGUAUUAGUUAUAUUAGUCUUGUUGAGGUUUUGAUUGAAGAUUUCUUUGAUUAGUUUGUAAUACUGAUUAGUGCCAUUAGGUUUGAUUCCCUCUUGAGGUUGUUUCCGCGAAAGCGUUGACGGUUUUAGGUUUUGAGAUGAAGAGUAUUAUAUUUUAUUGA